AUAGCGUAUAUUAAAGUUGUUGCAGUUAAAACGCUCGUAGUUGAACUUCAGACCUGGCUGGGCGGUCCGCCUUCUUGGUGUGUACUUACUCAACGGGGACUUACCUCCUGGUGAGCUGCAAUGUCCUUUACUGGGUGUUGUAGGGAACCAGGACGUUUACUUUGAAAAAAUUAGAGUGUUCAAAGCAGGGCUACGCCCGAAUACAUUAGCAUGGAAUAAUAGAAUAGGACGCGCGUUCCCAUUUUGUUGGUUUCUGAGAUCGCCGUAAUGAUUAAUAGGGAUAGUUGGGGGCAUUCGUAUUCCGUCGUCAGAGGUGAAAUUCUUGGAUUGCCGGAAGACGAACUUCUG
RNAcentral lists this ribosomal RNA (348 nucleotides) under uncultured eukaryote. Its description in RNAcentral is "SSU rRNA". It matches the Rfam family "Eukaryotic small subunit ribosomal RNA", at positions 594 to 945 of the family's 1831-position model. The record is from RNAcentral.